Molecule: ribosomal RNA, 388 nt
Filed under: Eucampia sp.
Lineage: Eukaryota; Bacillariophyta; Thalassiosirophyceae; Eucampiales; Eucampiaceae
Description: partial small subunit ribosomal RNA
Rfam family: Eukaryotic small subunit ribosomal RNA
Source: RNAcentral
AUUCCAGCUCCAAUAGCGUAUAUUAAAGUUGUUGCGGUUAAAAAGCUCGUAGUUGGAUUUCUGCUGAGGACGACUGGUCCGCCCCCUGGGUGAGCAUCUGGUUCGGCCUGGGCAUCUUCUUGGGGAACGUAUCUGCACUUGAUUGUGUGGUGCGGUAUCCAGGACUUUUACUUUGAGGAAAUUAGAGUGUUUCAAGCAGGCCCGCGCCUUGAAUACAUUAGCAUGGAAUAAUAAGAUAGGAUCUUGAUACUAUUUUGUUGGUUUGCGUGUCGAGAUAAUGAUGAAUAGGGACAGUUGGGGGUAUUUGUAUUCCACAGCCAGAGGUGAAAUUCUUGGAUUUAUGGAAGACAAACUAAUGCGAAAGCAUCUACCAAGGAUGUUUUCAUUG